GGGGAAAAUGGCGGAAGGGAAGGCGGGAGAGGAGAAGCCUGAGAAGCCACAGCGAGCUGGAGCCGCUGGAGGACCUGAAGAAGAAGCAGAAAAACCUGUGAAAACUAAGACUGUUUCUUCCAGUAAUGGAGGGGAAAAUUCCAGUCGCAGCGCUGAGAAGCGAUCAGCUGAAGAUGAAACUGCAGACCUCCCAACAAAGCCUACAAAGAUCUCCAAGUUUGGAUUUGCCACAGGUAGUCAGACGACAAAGAAAGCCUCAGCCAUAUCCAUCAAACUUGGCUCAAGUAAGCCUAAAGAACCGGUUCCAACUCUUGCUCCAAAAACCCUUUCAGUAGCAGCAGCUUUUAAUGAAGAUGAAGAGAGUGAACCAGAGGAAAUGCCUCCAGAAGCAAAGAUGAGGAUGAAGAAUAUUGGAAGGGAUACACCAACAUCAGCAGGACCAAAUUCCUUCAAUAAAGGAAAGCAUGGGUUUUCUGAUAACCAGAAGCUAUGGGAGCGAAAUAUAAAAUGUCAUCUUGGAAAUGUCCAUGACCAAGACAAUUAAAUGAUGUGUUUUGAAACUGGGGUGUGGGGUGGGUGUAAAGUUAAAAGGAACAGUUUCCUUUUUUAAGGAAUGGUAUAAGACUAUCUUUGGAGCCGCCUUUUUUUUCUUUUUCUUUUUUUAAAUAUUGAGUGGUACACUAAUAAAUGAGAAUUUGAAA
Non-coding RNA from Odocoileus virginianus texanus, 701 nucleotides. NCBI's taxonomy places the organism in Eukaryota, Metazoa, Chordata, Mammalia, Artiodactyla, Cervidae. The record is from RefSeq and is a predicted model, not a curated record.